This 433-nucleotide ribosomal RNA is filed under the name uncultured bacterium. Its description in RNAcentral is "partial 16S ribosomal RNA". It matches the Rfam family "Bacterial small subunit ribosomal RNA", at positions 29 to 507 of the family's 1533-position model. The record is from RNAcentral.
AACGAACGCUGGCGGCAUGCCUAACACAUGCAAGUCGAACGAGACCUUCGGGUCUAGUGGUGCACGGGUGCGUAACGCGUGGGAACCUGCCCUUAGGUGCGGAAUAACUCCCCGAAAGGGGUGCUAAUACCGGAUAAUGUCUUCGGACCAAUGAUUUAUCGCCUUUGGAUGGGCCCGCGUUGGAUUAGCUAGUUGGUAGGGUAAAAGCCUACCAAGGCGACGAGCCAUAGCUGGUCUGAGAGGAUGAUCAGCCACACUGGGACUGAGACACGGCCCAGACUCCUACGGGAGGCAGCAGUGGGGAAUAUUGGACAAUGGGCGAAAGCCUGAUCCAGCAAUGCCGCGUGAGUGAUGAAGGCCUUAGGGUUGUAAAGCUCUUUUACCCGGGAUGAUAAUGACAGUACCGGGAGAAUAAGCUCCGGCUAACUCCGUG